RNAcentral lists this ribosomal RNA (274 nucleotides) under uncultured bacterium. RNAcentral's name for it is "partial 16S ribosomal RNA". It matches the Rfam family "Bacterial small subunit ribosomal RNA", at positions 523 to 796 of the family's 1533-position model. The record is from RNAcentral.
AUACGGAGGGUGCAAGCGUUAAUCGGAUUUACUGGGCGUAAAGCGCGCGUAGGCGGCUAAUUAAGUCAAAUGUGAAAUCCCCGAGCUUAACUUGGGAAUUGCAUUCGAUACUGGUUAGCUAGAGUGUGGGAGAGGAUGGUAGAAUUCCAGGUGUAGCGGUGAAAUGCGUAGAGAUCUGGAGGAAUACCGAUGGCGAAGGCAGCCAUCUGGCCUAACACUGACGCUGAGGUGCGAAAGCAUGGGGAGCAAACAGGAUUAGAUACCCGAGUAGUCC